CAGUCGCCGCGGUAAUACGAGGGGGGCAAGCGUUGUUCGGAAUUAUUGGGCGUAAAGGGUGCGUAGGCGGUUCAGCAAGUCUCGUGUGAAAUCUUCGGGCUCAACCCGAAGUCUGCACGGGAAACUACUGGGCUUGAGUAAUGGAGAGGUGAGUGGAAUUUCCGGUGUAGCGGUGAAAUGCGUAGAUAUCGGAAGGAACACCUGUGGCGAAAGCGGCUCACUGGACAUUUACUGACGCUGAUGCACGAAAGCUAGGGGAGCAAACAGGAUUAGAUACCCCAGUAGUCCCUGUCUCUUAUAC
RNAcentral lists this ribosomal RNA (301 nucleotides) under uncultured bacterium. RNAcentral describes it as "partial 16S ribosomal RNA". It matches the Rfam family "Bacterial small subunit ribosomal RNA", at positions 509 to 807 of the family's 1533-position model. The record is from RNAcentral.